This 485-nucleotide ribosomal RNA is filed under the name uncultured bacterium. RNAcentral's name for it is "partial 16S ribosomal RNA". It matches the Rfam family "Bacterial small subunit ribosomal RNA", at positions 29 to 523 of the family's 1533-position model. The record is from RNAcentral.
AGUGAACGCUGGCGGCGUGCUUAACACAUGCAAGUCGAACGAGAACGGAAUAUAGCUUGCUAUAUUUGUCAGCUAAGUGGCGCACGGGUGAGUAAUGUAUAGAUAACCUGCCCUUAAGAAAGGAAUAACAGUUGGAAACGACUGCUAAUGCCCUAUAUGCCUUUAAUACAUAAGUAUGCAAGGGAAACGCUUUAGUGCUUAAGGAUGGGUCUGUAUGGUAUCAGCUUGUUGGUGAGGUAAUGGCUCACCAAGGCUAUGACGCCUAACUGGUUUGAGAGGAUGAACAGUCACACUGGAACUGAGACACGGUCCAGACUCCUACGGGAGGCAGCAGUGGGGAAUAUUGCACAAUGGACGAAAGUCUGAUGCAGCAACGCCGCGUGGAAGAUGACACAUUUCGGUGCGUAAACUCCUUUUAUAUAGGAAGAUAAUGACGAUACUAUAUGAAUAAGCACCGGCUAACUCCGUGCCAGCCGCCGCCGCAG